This 255-nucleotide ribosomal RNA is filed under the name uncultured bacterium. Its description in RNAcentral is "partial 16S ribosomal RNA". It matches the Rfam family "Bacterial small subunit ribosomal RNA", at positions 524 to 776 of the family's 1533-position model. The record is from RNAcentral.
UACGUAGGGUGCGAGCGUUAAUCGGAAUUACUGGGCGUAAAGCGUGCGCAGGCGGUUCGUUAAGUCAGCUGUGAAAGCCCCGGGCUCAACCUGGGAACUGCGGUUGAAACUGGCGAACUAGAAUCUGGCAGAGGGGGGGUGGAAUUCCACGGUGUAGCAGUGAAAUGCGUAGAGAUGUGGAGGAACACCGAUGGCGAAGGCAGCCCCCUGGGCUGAGAUUGACGCUCAGGCACGAAAGCGUGGGGAGCAAACAGG